Molecule: transfer RNA, 87 nt
Filed under: Trichoderma viride
Lineage: Eukaryota; Fungi; Ascomycota; Sordariomycetes; Hypocreales; Hypocreaceae
Also listed under: 7 other names
Description: tRNA-Val
Source: RNAcentral
GGUUCCGUGGUCUAGUUGGUUAUGACAUUUCGUUAACAUCGUUUAACGCCACCGAAAAGGUCCCCGGUUCGAGCCCGGGCGGAAUCA